GGACUACCCGGGUAUCUAAUCCCGUUCGCUCCCCUGGCUUUCGCGCCUCAGCGUCAGAAGAGGUCCAGCAGGUCGCUUUCGCCACCGGCGUUCCUUCCGAUAUCUACGCAUUUCACCGCUCCACCGGAAGUUCCACCUGCCCCUACCUCACUCAAGACCCCCAGUAUCCAAGGCACGUUUCCGGUUGAGCCGAAAGAUUUCACCCCGGACUUGGGAAUCCGCCUACGCGCCCUUUAAGCCCAGUGAAUCCGAACAACGUUCGCACGGUUCGUCUUACCGCGGCUGCUGGCAC
RNAcentral lists this ribosomal RNA (292 nucleotides) under uncultured Planctomycetota bacterium. RNAcentral's name for it is "uncultured planctomycete partial 16S ribosomal RNA". Lineage: Bacteria; Pseudomonadati; Planctomycetota. The record is from RNAcentral.